This 1400-nucleotide ribosomal RNA is filed under the name uncultured bacterium. RNAcentral describes it as "16S ribosomal RNA". It matches the Rfam family "Bacterial small subunit ribosomal RNA". The record is from RNAcentral.
UUCGCCCUUAGAGUUUGAUCCUGGCUCAGGACGAACGCUGGCGGCGUGCUUAACACAUGCAAGUCGAACGGAGUACCCUCGAAGGAGAUUUCGGACGAUGGAGAGGACUACUUAGUGGCGGACGGGUGAGUAACGCGUGAGGAACCUGCCUUUCAGUGGGGGACAACAGUUGGAAACGACUGCUAAUACCGCAUAACGUACUGGUAUCGCAUGGUACUGGUACCAAAGAUUUAUCGCUGAGAGAUGGCCUCGCGUCUGAUUAGCUAGUUGGUAGGGUAACGGCCUACCAAGGCGACGAUCAGUAGCCGGACUGAGAGGUUGGCCGGCCACAUUGGGACUGAGAUACGGCCCAAACUCCUACGGGAGGCAGCAGUGGGGAAUAUUGGGCAAUGGGCGCAAGCCUGACCCAGCAACGCCGCGUGAAGGAAGAAGGCUUUCGGGUUGUAAACUUCUUUUGACAGGGAAGAGCAAAAGACGGUACCUGUCGAAUAAGCCCCGGCUAACUACGUGCCAGCAGCCGCGGUAAUACGUAGGUGGCAAGCGUUGUCCGGAUUUACUGGGUGUAAAGGGCGUGUAGCCGGGCUGACAAGUCAAAUGUGAAAUCCGGGGGCUCCACCCCGGAACUGCAUUUGAAACUGUUGGUCUGGAGUAUCGGAGAGGCAGGCGGAAUUCCUAGUGUAGCGGUGAAAUGCGUAGAUAUUAGGAAGAACACCAGUGGCGAAGGCGGCCUGCUGGACGGCAACUGACGGUGAGGCUCGAAAGCGUGGGGAGCAAACAAAAGUAGAUACCCUGGUAGUCCACGCUGUAAACGAUGUGAUACUAGGUGGGCGGGGACUGUCCCCCUGCGUGCCACAGCUCCGUCAAUAAUUCUCCCCUCCGGGGGAGUUCGAUCGCAAGGUUGUAACUCAAAGGAAUGGGCGGGGGCCCGCACAAGCGGUGGAUUAUGUGGUUUAAUUCGAUGCAACACGAAGAACCUUACCAGGGCUUGACAUCCUACUAACGAAGUAGAGAUACAGUUGGUACCCUUCGGGGGAAGUAGAGACAGGUGGUGCAUGGUUGUCGUCAGCUCGUGUCGUGAGAUGUUGGGUUAAGUCCAGCAACGAGCGCAACCCUUAUUGUUAGUUGGUACACAAGAGCACUCUAGCGAGACUGCCGUUGACAAAACGGAGGAAGGUGGGGACGACGUCAAAUCAUCAUGCCCCUUAUGUCCUGGGCUACACACGUAAUACAAUGGCGGUCAACAGAGGGAUGCAAAACCGUGAGGUGGAGCGAACCCCUAAAAGCCGUCCCAGUUCAGAUCGCAGUCUGCAACCCGCCUGCGUGAAGUCGGAAUCGCUAGUAAUCGCGGAUCAGCAUGCCGCGGUGAAUACGUUCCCGGGCCUUGUACUCACCGCCCGUCA